UACAGAGGUCUCAAGCGUUGUUCGGAUUCAUUGGGCGUAAAGGGUGCGUAGGCGGUCGGGCAAGUCGGAUGUGAAAUCUCAGGGCUCAACCCUGAAACUGCAUUCGAUACUGCGUGGCUAGAGUGCUGGAGAGGAGACUGGAAUUUACGGUGUAGCAGUGAAAUGCGUAGAUAUCGUAAGGAAGACCAGUGGCGAAGGCGGGUCUCUGGACAGAAACUGACGCUGAGGCACGAAGGCCAGGGGAGCAAACGGG
RNAcentral lists this ribosomal RNA (253 nucleotides) under uncultured bacterium. RNAcentral describes it as "partial 16S ribosomal RNA". It matches the Rfam family "Bacterial small subunit ribosomal RNA", at positions 524 to 776 of the family's 1533-position model. The record is from RNAcentral.